RNAcentral lists this transfer RNA (72 nucleotides) under Bos taurus (domestic cattle). It matches the Rfam family "tRNA". From Rfam's summary of the family: Transfer RNA (tRNA) molecules are approximately 80 nucleotides in length. Their secondary structure includes four short double-helical elements and three loops (D, anti-codon, and T loops). Further hydrogen bonds mediate the characteristic L-shaped molecular structure. tRNAs have two regions of fundamental functional importance: the anti-codon, which is responsible for specific mRNA codon recognition, and the 3' end, to which the tRNAs corresponding amino acid is attached (by aminoacyl-tRNA synthetases). tRNAs cope with the degeneracy of the genetic code in two manners: having more than one tRNA (with a specific anti-codon) for a particular amino acid; and 'wobble' base-pairing, i.e. permitting non-standard base-pairing at the 3rd anti-codon position. Lineage: Eukaryota; Metazoa; Chordata; Mammalia; Artiodactyla; Bovidae. The record is from Rfam by way of RNAcentral. RNAcentral also lists the same sequence under 1 other name.
UCCCUGAUAGCUCAGUCGGUAAAGAAUCUGCCUGUAAAGCAGGAGACCCUGGUUAUAUUCCUGGGUUGGGAA